AACGAGCGCUGGCGGCAGGCUUAACACAUGCAAGUCGAACGCGUGCAGCAAUGCACGAGUGGCGCACGGGUGAGUAACGAGUGGAUAUCUGCCUUUUGGUUCGGAAUAACCCCGGGAAACUGGGGCUAAUACCGGAUGGUUCCUACGGGAUAAAGAUUUAUCGCCAAAGGAUGAGUCCGCGUCCGAUUAGCUAGUUGGUGAGGUAAUGGCUCACCAAGGCGACGAUCGGUAGCUGGUCUGAGAGGACGAUCAGCCACACUGGGACUGAGACACGGCCCAGAAUACUACGGGAGGCAGGAGUGGGGAAUAGUGGAAAAUGGGGGCAAACCUGAUACAGCCAUGCCGCGUGAGUGAUGAAGGCCUUAGGGUUGUAAAGCUAUAUUGGCGGGGAAGAUGAUGACGGUACCCGCAGAAUAAGCCCCGGCUAACUUCGUG
RNAcentral lists this ribosomal RNA (435 nucleotides) under uncultured bacterium. RNAcentral describes it as "partial 16S ribosomal RNA". It matches the Rfam family "Bacterial small subunit ribosomal RNA", at positions 29 to 507 of the family's 1533-position model. The record is from RNAcentral.